UCCGGUUUGUCACCGGCAGUCCCAUUAGAGUGCCCAACUUAAUGCUGGCAACUAAACACAGGGGUUGCGCUCGUUGAGGGACUUAACCCGACAUGCCACGACACGAGCUGACGACAGCCAUGCAGCACCUGUGCAGGCUCCGAAGAGCGUCGUCUUUCAACGAUUUCACCCUGCAUGUCAAACCCAGGUAAGGUUCUUCGCGUUGCAUCGAAUUAAGCCGCAUGCUCCGCCGCUUGUGCGGGCCCCCGUCAAUUCCUUUGAGUUUUAGCCUUGCGGCCGUACUCCCCAGGCGGGGUGCUUAAUGCGUUAGCUUCGGCACGGAAGGGGUCGAUGUCCCCCCACACCUAGCACCCAACGUUUACGGCUAGGACUAC
Molecule: unclassified non-coding RNA, 374 nt
Filed under: uncultured Actinomycetes bacterium
Lineage: Bacteria; Bacillati; Actinomycetota; Actinomycetes
Description: uncultured actinobacterium contains 16S-23S intergenic spacer region
Source: RNAcentral